This 944-nucleotide long non-coding RNA is filed under the name Pan troglodytes (chimpanzee). RNAcentral's name for it is "long non-coding RNA NONPTRT015501". The record is from RNAcentral. Lineage: Eukaryota; Metazoa; Chordata; Mammalia; Primates; Hominidae.
AAAGCUGCCCAACUAGAAACCCCAAAAGGCAAGAGAACUACGAUACCCACAAUUCAGGCUCCUCACCCGAAACCAGAAGAGGGCGUAUGGCUAGAGUUUCACCCUAAGAAGAAAGGGGAAGCAGGUGGAAAAGCAAUUAAAAAAAAAUCAGAUUCUCUUUUGGUGAUUCAGAGCUGAAGGUGCCUCACUGCCCUGUGGAACAGGUGAAUAAAGCCUUUCCAGCAUCUCUCUCUAGCCUAUUAUCUCCUGUUAGACACAGCCCAGAAAAUGAAUAGAGACAAGUCCUGGCUGGGUCUGGGUUCAGAAACAUAAUAGAAGGAUUCAUCUAAAGGAAGGGAAUUCUUUCCACAGUUGCUAGUUCCUCACACCUCUGCCUCUAUGGGAUUCUCCUGGUCCCCACAUGCUCUGCUGUGUCUUCUAGCUGUCAGCCACUGUGGAGGAAGUGAACCUUCUAGAUCCUGCUGACUCAUACAAUGAGUUUUGUGUGGACCAUCAGACAAAAGGGCUGACUGGUGAAGGUGGCUGUUGUCUGGAAAGUCCUCCCAGCUCUCCUCUAAUUAUGUCAUAAGGACUGGAGGCCCCUUAGCCUGCUUGUGAUAACACGCAAGGAAAUACGGGCCAACUCUUCACAUGAGCACAAGAUAUUUCCAUGCUAGCCUUUUGCAAGUAACAACAGAGAGAGCUCUGUGCAGUUUUCACUGGAAUGCCUAUGGAUUGCUUGUGUCAUAACUGUAAUCUAAAGAGUUGUCCAUUUGUUGAUUCCUUUGUGUUUGUAUUGGUAGAAUUGCCACUAUCAAACCAAGAUCUUUAGCUGUCUUUGUAUCAACUUCUUUGGAGCUUAUGUGAUUUUCCAGAAAAUUUCCAAGGCAUAGUUUUGUCCCUAAGUCCCAUGAAUAUGUAAUAUUUUGUGUCUCUCUAUUAAAAUAGCACUUUUUGUGCAUUCC